UUAGACAGUAAGUACAUCAUGUGGCUAUCAUGCGACUAUCAUUUGACUUAUUGUGUAGAAAGAGAUUACUAAAGAAGAAUUGAAGGUCACCUGGUAGAGUGUAUCUUGAUCAUCAAUUGAUUGAGAGAUAUUCAUAUAUAUACUGGUAGUGAAAUGUAUAUGGAAAUAUUGAAAGAACCUGAAAAGAUGAAGCUCCCAACACAGAUGCAUGCAGGUGUAUGUUAGAAGAUGGUGUCCAUCACAAUUUUUAGUUGAUCCAACAGAAGAAAGUUAAGUGGAGUUCCUGUUGAUGCCAUUUCUGUUGCAACAGUUAGCAAUUGACAUUUCACUAUCAGCCAGUUAUUUUUCCUUUAAAAGUAGAGUACAUUAUCAAUGAUC
Molecule: long non-coding RNA, 378 nt
Organism: Amphimedon queenslandica
Lineage: Eukaryota; Metazoa; Porifera; Demospongiae; Haplosclerida; Niphatidae
Exons: 3
Source: RefSeq, a predicted model, not a curated record